GGUUGAACAAGGGUGGGAUAAAACAGGAGGAUCUAUGCUAGUCCAAGGAGAGAAGUGAAGAUGGUUUCAGACUAAAGGGAUAACAGGGAGAAAGAAGUGGUAACAUUCUGACUCUUCUUCUAAAGGUAGAGCCAAGAGAAGUCUUGAUAUGGGCUAUGAGAAAAAGAAGGAAGUCAAAGAUGACUUCAGUUCCUGGACCUGAGCCAAUGGACAAAAUGGGAAAACAAUGGGAGGAGCAGGUCUGGCAGGUAAUACCGGGAGUUCAGCUUUGCGCAUGUUGAGUCUGAGCUGCCUAUCAAACACACAGAUGGAGCUGCUGAGAAGGCAGUUGGAGAGAUGAAUCUGCUGUUCAACAAAGAGGUCAGAGACAGAGAUUAACAUCUAGCAGUGUGCAGAAUUUGGGGCUGGACGAGAUUAUUUAGAGAGAAAAUCUGGAGCACUCCUAGCUUCUGCCCUGGGGCUCUUCAAUGUUUUGCAGGAUUCAACAAAGGAGUCCAAGAAGGAACAAAUAGUGAGUGCGAAAGAAAAUCAAGCAAAAAGGCAUGCAAGAAACCAAGAAAAGUGUUUGAAAGAGGAAGGAACGACCAACUGAGUUAAACACCACUAAGAGGUCAAGAAAGAUGAAGACUAAUAAGAAUGGAGCAUUUGAUUUGAUAACAUAGAGGUCAUUUGGAUCAAGAUAAAGCUUAUUGCCUACAAGUGGAAUUAGGUGGACAGCUUUGAGAUCUUCCAUACUCUCAAUGAAAAGCUUUGCCUGUACACAUAAUUCUUCCGGGUAAGUCUCAGCUAGCAAUCUUCAGGAUUAUUGUCAGCCCACAAUAUAGUGUUAAUUCUGUACUAUGGGCUGUCAUCUUCCUAUACACAACCAAGGCAAUCAUCAUUCUCAAGAAACUCCUGAACCAUUAAUCCAGGAUGCAAAAGAAACAUGUUAAGGGCACUGAAACUCAGACCUAUAGCAAUGUUAAGAGUUGUGGCAGGCAGGGAAAAACACACGACAGCUGAUCAGCCUGACCACUUCAGAAGGACUAUGCUACCAAUAAGAGAUGACUCCACAAAUCCUGGACUCAGUCACAUAGCAACAAAGUCUAUCCACAUUAAGAGUGAGAAAAUGGCUACUCACCUAUGUAUUGUCUUUUCAAACUUACACACAAGACGACACCAGUUUACAGCAUCAUUUGAAAAUACAAAAAAAAUGACGAUAUACAUAUGACACGCUAAGGAUCAAGAACAAAGAAAGAAUUACAAAAA
This is a long non-coding RNA of Canis lupus familiaris (dog), 1248 nucleotides long. RefSeq lists it as uncharacterized. Lineage: Eukaryota; Metazoa; Chordata; Mammalia; Carnivora; Canidae. The record is from RefSeq and is a predicted model, not a curated record. The transcript is spliced from 2 exons.